GACGAACGCUGGCGGCGUGCCUAAUACAUGCAAGUUGAGCGCUGAAGGUUGGUACUUGUACCAACUGGAUGAGCAGCGAACGGGUGAGUAACGCGUGGGGAAUCUGCCUUUGAGCGGGGGACAACAUUUGGAAACGAAUGCUAAUACAGCAUAAAAACUUUAAACACAAGUUUUAAGUUUGAAAGAUGCAAUUGCAUCACUCAAAGAUGAUCCCGCGUUGUAUUAGCUAGUUGGUGAGGUAAAGGCUCACCAAGGCGAUGAUACAUAGCCGACCUGAGAGGGUGAUCGGCCACAUUGGGACUGAGACACGGCCCAAACUCCUACGGGAGGCAGCAGUAGGGAAUCUUCGGCAAUGGACGAAAGUCUGACCGAGCAACGCCGCGUGAGUGAAGAAGGUUUUCGGAUCGUAAAACUCUGUUGGUAGAGAAGAACGUUGGUGAGAGUGGAAAGCUCAUCAAGUGACGGUAACUACCCAGAAAGGGACGGCUAACUACGUG
This 497-nucleotide ribosomal RNA is filed under the name uncultured bacterium. RNAcentral describes it as "partial 16S ribosomal RNA". It matches the Rfam family "Bacterial small subunit ribosomal RNA", at positions 28 to 507 of the family's 1533-position model. The record is from RNAcentral.